AAUAUAGUUACUGAUGAAAAACAGCGUGGGGUGCUUGAAGUGAACGUCUCCAUACUGACUCAGGAGGAUUCAGGCAGAUACUGGUGUGUCUUAGAAAGAGAGGCUUCCAUAACCUGUUUACAAGAUUUCUUUCUCCAUGUUCUGAACAAAGAUAAUAAGCCAAAACCAACAGCUGAAACUCGCUCUGACACAGGGUGGUCUUUAACUC
This is a long non-coding RNA of Cyprinodon tularosa, 208 nucleotides long. RefSeq lists it as uncharacterized. The transcript is spliced from 3 exons. The record is from RefSeq and is a predicted model, not a curated record. Lineage: Eukaryota; Metazoa; Chordata; Actinopteri; Cyprinodontiformes; Cyprinodontidae.